GCAGUCAUGGCGGAAUUGGCAUACGCGCUAGAUUCAGGUUCUAGUCCGGGCAACUGGGUGAGGGUUCAAGUCCCUUUGACUGCA
This 84-nucleotide transfer RNA is filed under the name Mobilisporobacter senegalensis. It matches the Rfam family "tRNA". Rfam says of the family: Transfer RNA (tRNA) molecules are approximately 80 nucleotides in length. Their secondary structure includes four short double-helical elements and three loops (D, anti-codon, and T loops). Lineage: Bacteria; Bacillati; Bacillota; Clostridia; Lachnospirales; Lachnospiraceae. The record is from Rfam by way of RNAcentral.